RNAcentral lists this ribosomal RNA (1423 nucleotides) under uncultured actinomycete. Its description in RNAcentral is "bacterial SSU rRNA". It matches the Rfam family "Bacterial small subunit ribosomal RNA". Lineage: Bacteria; Bacillati; Actinomycetota; Actinomycetes; Actinomycetales. The record is from RNAcentral.
GAACGAUGAACCACUUCGGUGGGGAUUAGUGGCGAACGGGUGAGUAACACGUGGGCAAUCUGCCCUUCACUCUGGGACAAGCCCUGGAAACGGGGUCUAAUACCGGAUAAUACUUCCACUCGCAUGGGUGGGGGUUAAAAGCUCCGGCGGUGAAGGAUGAGCCCGCGGCCUAUCAGCUUGUUGGUGAGGUAAUGGCUCACCAASKCGCWMGWCRGGUAUGUCACRGSCWGACGGUAGSGCUGACMGGCSACGWCWRKGACUGAGAMACGGCCCAGACUCCUACGGGARGCAGCAGUGGGGAAUAUUGCACAAUGGGCGAAAGCCUGAUGCAGCGACGCCGCGUGAGGGAUGACGGCCUUCGGGUUGUAAACCUCUUUCAGCAGGGAAGAAGCGAAAGUGACGGUACCUGCAGRAGAAGCGCCGGCUAACUACGUGCCAGCAGCCGCGGUAAUACGUAGGGCGCAAGCGUUGUCCGGAAUUAUUGGGCGUAAAGAGCUCGUAGGCGGUCUGUCGCGUCGGAUGUGAAAGCCCGGGGCUUAACCCCGGGUCUGCAUUCGAUACGGGCAGACUAGAGUGUGGUAGGGGAGAUCGGAAUUCCUGGUGUAGCGGUGAAAUGCGCAGAUAUCAGGAGGAACACCGGUGGCGAAGGCGGAUCUCUGGGCCAUUACUGACGCUGAGGAGCGAAAGCGUGGGGAGCGAACAGGAUUAGAUACCCUGGUAGUCCACGCCGUAAACGGUGGGAACUAGGUGUUGGCGACAUUCCACGUCGUCGGUGCCGCAGCUAACGCAUUAAGUUCCCCGCCUGGGGGAGUACGGCCGCAAGGCUAAAACUCAAAGGAAUUGACGGGGGCCCGCACAAGCAGCGGAGCAUGUGGCUUAAUUCGACGCAACGCGAAGAACCUUACCAAGGCUUGACAUACACCGGAAAGCAUUAGAGAUAGUGCCCCCCUUGUGGUCGGUGUACAGGUGGUGCAUGGCUGUCGUCAGCUCGUGUCGUGAGAUGUUGGGUUAAGUCCCGCAACGAGCGCAACCCUUGUUCUGUGUUGCCAGCAUGCCCUUCGGGGUGAUGGGGACUCACAGGAGACUGCCGGGGUCAACUCGGAGGAAGGUGGGGACGACGUCAAGUCAUCAUGCCCCUUAUGUCUUGGGCUGCACACGUGCUACAAUGGYCGKUACAAAGAGCUGCGAAMCSGUGAGGUGGAGCGAAUCUCAAAAAGSCGSUCUCAGKUCGGAGWUGGGKUCUGUGCAACUCGACCCCAUGAAGUCGGAGUUGCUAGUAAUCGCAGAUCAGCAUUGCUGCGGUGAAUACGUUCCCGGGCCUUGUACACACCGCCCGUCACGUCACGAAAGUCGGUAACACCCGAAGCCGGUGGCCCAACCCCUUGUGGGAGGGAGCUGUCGAAGGUGGGACUGGCGAUUGGGA